UAUUUUCGAAACAUAUACAAGUGGGAUCUAGUUUUAUUUGGCUUAUCGCAUAAAACACACUGAUAUGAACGGAAUUAAAAAGAGAUAUACCAUUUAAAAGUUAUACCAUUUUAUGACAUCAGUAGUAUUGGGAAGCGCAUGGAAAGUGAAUUGAGUAUGGCGUGUGAUUUUAUCAUCAAAAAAGAAAAUAGGCGUGUAUUAUUUUCCUACGUUUCUAAAAUAAUUAGUUUCUAAAAAAAAUACCGAUGAAUCUUAAAGGAAUGUUACUCACAGUUGUUCUCAAAAUUUAAAUUAGGUGCAAGUUUAAAUUUGUGAAAAAUAAAAGGUAAUGUUAUAUAACUUAGUAUGCUUAACUUAUUCCUUAAAGUUAUAUUGUGUAACUUAGUUAGUGUAAGUCAUGUGCGUAGCGGAAAAGAAAACGUAAUGUUGUAUAACUUAGUAUGCUUAACUUAUUCCUUAAAGUUAUGUUCCUUAAAGUUAUGUUGCGUAACUUAGUUAGUAUAAGUUAUGUGCGCAUGCUUUUUAAAAACAAAAAAAAUGUUACAAAUGAAUGUUAAAAUAAAAUGUUACGCGUUUUUUAAAUAAAAAAAUAACGUUAUGUGUGUCAAAGUGCGCAAAAAGAGAAAAAAAGAUGUGUACGUCCCAUUCUUAAAAAAAAGAGUCCAUACAGAUUAGGUUACCAAAAAGGAAACAAGCGGG
Molecule: long non-coding RNA, 699 nt
Filed under: Sorghum bicolor (sorghum)
Lineage: Eukaryota; Viridiplantae; Streptophyta; Magnoliopsida; Poales; Poaceae
Description: long non-coding RNA (SBIC_LNC005555)
Source: RNAcentral